Molecule: long non-coding RNA, 453 nt
Filed under: Panax ginseng (ginseng)
Lineage: Eukaryota; Viridiplantae; Streptophyta; Magnoliopsida; Apiales; Araliaceae
Description: long non-coding RNA (PGIN_LNC015528)
Source: RNAcentral
UUUUGGUUGGCAUCUGGGAAAGAGAGAGAGACCCCCUUUGGCUUUAGGAAAAGCCGAGCGAUGAUAUCCUUUAUUUCUUUGUUUGUUUGAAUGGAUAGAUGAUGGUAUCGAUCAACAAUUUCACUUCUAGGUAUACCUCCUCUUUUUCUUUCUGUUAUGGAGUAGGUAUGCAUGAAAGUAAGGGAAAUAUCAAUGAUCAACUAAUUCCUACAAUACUUUAAUUUUCCUCUUGAUCUUCUAUCUAUGUAUGUAUAGAUACAUUUUCCAUUACUCGAUCGAUCAUUUCAUAACUGAAAAUGCAGCAAACACCACAUGACGUACGUAAUAUUCUCUUCUCCCUCCUAAUUGGAUCUCUCGCUCAUCAUCACUUUUGAUCAAAUCAUAUCAUCAAAUCCCUAAAAACCAAACUAUACCCACAUAAAAGAUCAUUCACUCUCUCUCUCUCUCUCUCUC